Arachis ipaensis is the source of this 147-nucleotide non-coding RNA. NCBI's taxonomy places the organism in Eukaryota, Viridiplantae, Streptophyta, Magnoliopsida, Fabales, Fabaceae. The record is from RefSeq and is a predicted model, not a curated record.
AAAAGCUUGGCAAGGCUCAGAGAAGAAGAGUCAGAACGAUAAGGGAGGAGAGUUAGUAGAGGAGAGUUGUAUCUCUUAACACACAAAAGAACUAAUGGCUCCUAUAUUCAUGAUGCAGCUCGGGCUAUUGGAGUAAGAAAUGUGUUG